Long non-coding RNA from Crocodylus porosus (Australian saltwater crocodile), 2899 nucleotides. The record is from Ensembl. Lineage: Eukaryota; Metazoa; Chordata; Crocodylia; Crocodylidae.
AUUACAUUCCUAAUGUGUUAAUUAACACUGUUUAUUUAAGGAUAUUUAGCAAAAUAUACUAAAACUACUUGAUUUUUGUAUAUUGGCAGGUCACCAUUUUCUAUAGUGCCGAGCUACCAUAAUUUAAUGCUUUUUAUGGCCCACUUAAGCAUGAAGCAUCCAAAUUCUGUCUAAGAAUAACAGAUCUGCAGAACAACAUAAUAUCAAACCAAAGGCCAGAGUUUCAGAGCAGACUGGAUUUCAGUGUGAUAUGGAUUUAUUGACUUUGCAGUGGUUUCAGCAAAGCUGCGAGGAAGUUGGUCCUUUUGUUCCACUAUUUAUAGAUUGCGUCAACAUUGCGAAAAGGAGAAGGCGGAGCAGUGGCCCUUACUCCUCCGAGGCAGCGAGCGAGCGAGCAGCCCAGCACACACACGCGACCUUAAGUACACAACACAGCAACCUCCUCCUCCUCCGCCACCCCAUUGAGGAGCGCCGGAGAUCGGAUUCAAUCACGUGUCCGGGGAGAACCAGCCUGCCCAGUGCCUGCAGAGCGCUGCCUUGCCAUGCACGGUGGCGGCAGAGAGGAGCUGUUCUCCCGCGCGCAGAGGCCGGGGCUCGCUUCCAGCCUGCGCGCUCCCCCCGCAGGGAAAGUGGCUCUGCCGGGGAGCCUACCCCCCCCGCGGGCGGUCACAAGUGCCCGUGGCAAUGCCCGCUGCCGUGCAGUGCUCCCCUCCAUCGCCUCGCCUGCUCAGAUCUGCGAAUGCACAUAUUGCCAAGCUCGGAGGCGGUAGAGAGCGAGCUCGUUACAGCCCUGCCCUUGCAAAGUCUCUAGCAGAGGAAGGGCCGGGGGGGGGAAGAGGGAGGGAGCAGCUUUGCUACGGGGCAGACCCAAGGCUCUUUCUCCUCUCUGCAGGUGCACAGGGACUCUGGGACAGGUCCCUUCCCUUGCUGGCUCCUAGGGGGCGAGGACAGGUGAUGGAGGGGUUAAUGGGAAUGUGCUUACCCCGAAAAAAAUGUGUAGCCCUUGCAGGAAAAGCUGGUCGUGAAGUUCUAAGGCUCCUCCGCCAUCCAAGAAGUGAAACUGCACUUUUCUGGCCUAAGGCCAGGGGCUCUGAACUGCGUGUAAACAAAGAGCCCUGCAAGCCCGAGCCGAGGGCCUGCUCGCGCCCGGCUGCCGGAGCCUAGUCCCUAGGGCCGACCGCAUACUCCGCUCCCGGAGCCGGCCGGCCUCUCUGCUCCGCACCGGUUCACCAGGGCUUGCCACGCGCCAGCUCUCCAGGGACACAGCCUCGUCCACCGCCGGAUCGACGUCGUUCGCAGGCUCGAAGCGGAGGCGGCUUUGGAGAGUUUCUGGGCUCGCGAUCGCCCGUCCAGGAGGCGCCGAGCUCUCGUGGCUCCGCUUGCCCGCGGGUGUGUGAGCUGUGCCGAGGGAAGCCGGGCACCGGACUCGUCUCAACCUGCCUCGGCUCCCACCUCGGGUCUGCGAGGGACUGCCGCUGCCUCCGGAUUACCUAUGUGGAGCCGCCGCGAGCCUCCUGCAGGACUGUCCGCUCCGGGAGAGGACUCUUUCUUUGCUCUCGCUGCAAGCUGAUCUCGAGGCGGCCUUGAUGCGAGCAGCCUCGAAGGCGAGAAGCGAGACGGAGCUCGCUGCCUUGCUUGCUCUCAGCAGAGGUGCGGAGCGGCGGUGCAGCGGGGAAGUGUUUCCCCUCACUGUCAUGCACUAGGUGGGCGGCUGAGUUCUUCCCCGGUGCUGCUAUUACUUGCAACGGGUUUCUUUCCUAGUAUUCUUUCCUUAAGGAAAAAAAUGUCCCGAUUCCCUUGGAAAUCUCCCCCUUGCCGGGCGCGGAGCGGCCGAGGGAAUCCACUGCGGCUCCCAGGUAAGGAGCUCCAGAAGAGGGCACAGCACCCCCGGGGCACUGCUCAUUCUUUCCCCUUUCACUGUGCCCCGAGGCUGCUGCCUUUGAUUGCUGCUCCUUACCCCCUUCGCGCUUCGAGCCCCAUCUCCUUCCCCAUCUCCGCUCUUUCGGCAGCAUCUGCUUAUUUGCUCACCCUCGCUGAACUUUUCAUUGGCACUAGGACCCAUUGUUGGUGUUAUUAUUAUUAUUAGUAGUAGUAGUUGCAUUGCUGGGUUAUGGUUUAAAAAAGUAAAAUAACGAAAACAAGCCAGUCUGAGCGCAGACAACACUCAGUGUUACUCAACAGGUUUCGGGAGCUCAAGUGAAAGCGGCUUCCAAAGGUGAUCUCUGUCCGGCUUUCUGGCUAGCAGAUAUGAUUGAUUCGUCUCACGAAACCUUCCCUGUUGCUGCUAAAGAAGAAAACCCAAGAACACGGAUGAAUAAGUUUUCCGGGGGAGAGUUCACAACGGGCUGGACGGAAGCUAGACCUUUCACUUACUUUUUCCCUUGAAAACCCAGGAGAUUAAACGACUGCGAUGCACUGGUGCAAACUGUUCAAAUACGCUUUUCGGACAAAUGUGUCGUUACGAUGGACAUGGGCAAAGGAGGAGAAAAGCAAGGAGGCUGAACGAGUGAGUAGAAAAAAAAGAAUAGAAAAGCUGACAUGCAGACUCCAAAAACUGCCUGUUUAGCCGCAGUGUCAUUUCUGAAACUGGGCUGGACCUGCAGCACAAAGCCCCGGCGUUUACAGCUGCUGCUGCAGCCCUUUGGUAGCCUCCAAAGAAAAGCUGAAUUAUUGCAACUGUAGGUAACUUUAGGAAACUCGUUGUGACCUACAUUGCUUUUCUGAGUCAGCAAUGAGCAGCCAUAGCAGACUUGUCCCCCCCCUCCAAUUCUGACGGUGAACUACGGAUCUUUUAGGGUGGAGCCGUCUUUGCGACCGUUUGCUCCGAGCACUACAUGCCAUAGUUGCUACUCCCCUGUUCACAAAUAAACCAGAGUUAGAUGGAGCCCGCUUCCCGCCU